Molecule: ribosomal RNA, 253 nt
Filed under: uncultured bacterium
Lineage: Bacteria
Description: partial 16S ribosomal RNA
Rfam family: Bacterial small subunit ribosomal RNA
Source: RNAcentral
UACAGAGGGUGCGAGCGUUAAUCGGAAUUACUGGGCGUAAAGCGUGCGUAGACGGCUAUCUAAGUCGGGUGUGAAAGCCCCGGGCUCAACCUGGGAAUUGCAUUCGAGACUGAGUAGCUAGGGUGCGGUAGAGGGAAGCGGAAUUUCCGGUGUAGCGGUGAAAUGCGUAGAUAUCGGAAGGAACAUCAGUGGCGAAAGCGGCUUCCUGGACCAGCACCGACGUUCAGGCACGAAAGCGUGGGGAGCAAACAGG